GCGGUGUGCAAGGUGGUUGUUUUGAAGCUGUCGGAGAUGACAACGUGUGCAGAACGUGUGCACAAAGAGUAUAAUAACCUGAAGCACGAGACACGCAGUUAUUUUCCUGCUACGCCACAGCGCAUCUUGUGUUCGUGACCGCUCAAGACACUACGAGGAAAGACUGACAAGAUGCCAGAUCCAUGCUGUUCCGCUUGUGAGGGAUGCUCCAGCACCUGUAACAAAUGUAGCUGUGACUGCUGCAAGUGUUGUGCCUCUUGCAAGGCCUGUGGUCCCACAGCCGACUGCAGCUGUGGCUGUGCCUGCUGCAAAUGCUGUGCCUCUUGUGAUGGAUGCAAGUCUAGCUGCACCAGCUGUAGCUGUGACUGCUGCAAGUAAGGAGAGACAAUCACCAAUACCACAGAUCUAUAGAGGACUGUGGCAGACUGGCUAGUAUGGACAUCAAUGCUAUCAGCACCUUGUACAUUCCAUUAUCAAGCCGGAAGCAUAGCUUAUGUUUCAGUGAUGACGUCACAGAGGAAAGCAUUUAAAUGUCUAUGGUGAUAGCUAAGCUUGCAUUUUUAAGUCUAAGUAUCUUCUGUCUGUCCUUUUAGAAUUUAUGAAUGGAAAAAGAGUAAUCAGUAUUAAAAAGAUGUUUUAUUCACAUAUUGAGUACUAUCUACUUAAAUGUAAAGCGGAAGCUUUCUUGGAGAUAUAGAAAUUAUUGAAAGUGCACUUUAUUUUUAAAAAAAGUUGAAUGAGAGUACGGUGAAUUGAAUGCAUUAGAAGGACUCGAAUAUGGACGAGUUUGACUCGGGUGUCAGGUGUACUUAAAGUCUGUGUAAAAUAAAGCUUCUGUACUAUGUCAUGA
This is a long non-coding RNA of Branchiostoma floridae (Florida lancelet), 850 nucleotides long. RefSeq lists it as uncharacterized. Lineage: Eukaryota; Metazoa; Chordata; Leptocardii; Amphioxiformes; Branchiostomatidae. The transcript has 5 exons. The record is from RefSeq and is a predicted model, not a curated record.